AUUGAACGCUGGCGGCAGGCUUAACACAUGCAAGUCGAGCGGGGGAAGGUAGCUUGCUACCGGACCUAGCGGAGGACGGGUGAGUAAUGCUUAGGAAUCUGCCUAUUAGUGGGGGACAACAUCUCGAAAGGGAUGCUAAUACCGUAUACGUCCUAAGGGAGAAAGCAGGGGAUCUUCGGAUCUUGCUCUAAUAGAUGAGCCUAAGUCAGAUUAGCUAGUUGGUGGGGUAAAGGCCUACCAAGGCGACGACCUGUAGCGGGUCUGAGAGGAUGAUCCGCCACACUGGGACUGAGACACGGCCCAGACUCCUACGGGAGGCAGCAGUGGGGAAUAUUGGGCAAUGGGGGGAACCCUGAUCCAGCCAUGCCGCGUGUGUGAAGAAGGCCUUAUGGUUGUAAAGCACUGUAAGCGAGGAGGAGGCUACUUUGGUUAAUACGUAGAGAUAGUGGACGUUACUCGCAGAAUAAGCACCGGCUAACUCUGUACCAGCCGCCGCGGUAA
RNAcentral lists this ribosomal RNA (501 nucleotides) under uncultured bacterium. Its description in RNAcentral is "partial 16S ribosomal RNA". It matches the Rfam family "Bacterial small subunit ribosomal RNA", at positions 30 to 523 of the family's 1533-position model. The record is from RNAcentral.